AAAAGAAGUAACAUCCAAUUUAUUUCAUAAUUUAUUUCCAUCCACCUAUCAGAUGGCAUCCAAUAUAAACUACUUAUUUCAUUGUUGCUACCUUUUUUGACAAGCCACAAGUGCCACAAUAAUUUAUAAAAUUAUUUACAUUCAUUGUUCAUGUAGUUGUUUGAUAUAAAAGUGGAUUUUCUUUUUAGUUAUGAAGCAUUAAUUUUAUUCUAUUAUCAAUAAUUACGCUUAUAUCUAUAGUUGAAGAUGAAAGUACAAGGUAAGUCUUUUUAUUAUUUUCAAAUCCAUUGUGAUGAGUCGAUUUUAAGUUGUAGAAUUGGUUUAGUCAUAGCUAAUUAGAAUAUAUUAAAGAAGAGGGAUUUUUUUCUAGAAUGGAAUUCUAUGAAGUCCUUGU
RNAcentral lists this long non-coding RNA (394 nucleotides) under Physcomitrium patens. RNAcentral's name for it is "long non-coding RNA (PPAT_LNC008199)". Lineage: Eukaryota; Viridiplantae; Streptophyta; Bryopsida; Funariales; Funariaceae. The record is from RNAcentral.